UACAGAGGUGGCAAGCGUUGUUCGGAAUUACUGGGCGUAAAGGGCGCGUAGGCGGCCCGUCAAGUCCCGUGUGAAAGCCCCCGGCUCAACCGGGGAACUGCACGGGAAACUAGCAGGCUUGAGUUCGGGAGAGGGAAGCGGAAUUUCGGGUGUAGCGGUGAAAUGCGCAGAUAUCAGGAGGAACACCGGUGGCGAAGGCGGAUCUCUGGGCCUUACCUGACGCUCAGGUGCGAAAGCUAGGGGAGCGAACAGG
This 253-nucleotide ribosomal RNA is filed under the name uncultured bacterium. RNAcentral's name for it is "partial 16S ribosomal RNA". It matches the Rfam family "Bacterial small subunit ribosomal RNA", at positions 524 to 776 of the family's 1533-position model. The record is from RNAcentral.